RNAcentral lists this unclassified non-coding RNA (1382 nucleotides) under Hevea brasiliensis (rubber tree). Lineage: Eukaryota; Viridiplantae; Streptophyta; Magnoliopsida; Malpighiales; Euphorbiaceae. The record is from RNAcentral.
GUGAAAAUUUCAUAGCAUUAGCAUUUCCGUUUCAUGAAAUUACUCCUCAAUUGAGGAACCAUAUGCCCAUACGACAUUACACAGCUCAAACAGUUCCUCGAAAAGCAACAAAACUAUCGAGUCAUGCAAAUAACAAAUCCUACAAGCAAAAUUCAUUAACACAAAAAUAACCCCUUGAUACAAAUUGAGUGAUCAGCAUAAGGGCACUUAAAUAGGCUUGAUCUUGAAAUGUAGUGAGAUGAGGGAGAAAACAAAGCACUUCAAGUCCUGAACAAGGUAAUAGAAAAUACGAAGUCCUUCAGGAUCCUUACUACUCUGGACAUCGACAAGCGACCCAAUCUUUGAGGUAGUGAAGGAGAUAUGCUCGUUUCCCAUCACAAUCUCAAGCUCUUGUCGCCCAACCCUGUCCGGUUCUGGCCAGUUGGCAUCAUCUUCCUUCAUGAUCUGAGAAACAAAAUCAUUUGAACCAAAUCAUAAAUCACAUAACUACUAAAAAAUUUAAAAAAUAAAUAAGCAUAUUUCCAGCGCACAAGCGCUCUCAAUACACGUAACAAAUAAACUGCUCCAAAUGCAAACCAAAUAAAUCAGGAAUUCAGAAGAAAAAAUCUCCAACGUUAUUGUUAAGCUAAAAGCCUAAAACUCAACAAAUAGACCAUUGAUUUCAUAACUACAAGGAGCAGCGAUUCCUUUAAUGCAACAAAUAUAAUGAUGAACUGAGAAAAACAAAACCCCAAGCUCCACAAGGUUCUAGUUAAGCUUCGAUGCAAACCCCUAAAUUGAGAUUCAAAAACUCAGAAAAAUAUUCCGAAGAAUAUAGAUGAAUAUAUGUUGCCCGGGUUUAGAACUUGAGGGGGUUUAUAUAUAUAUAUAUAGGACAUUAGUUGAAAUGACAAUUGCAAGCCCUCAGACUGAGGAGGCGAAGGGAAGAACAAACCCUAAGAGAGAGAAAGCAGCAUUUUAGAGAAAAAAAUAAAAUAAAAUAAAGAGGAAGAAAAAGAAACAAAGAAAAACUCGCUCUCGGAGAUGAUACGGCAGCACUCCUUAAGGACGGCAGGGGUGAGGAAGACCUCCUUGCGGAUCAUGGUGUCGUUCUUGUAAUUGGAGUUAUUGGCGUAUCGAAGCUUACCAUCUGGUCUGAACUCGAACUCAAGGAACUCGUGGCCGAAUUUUCCCUUGUGUCCCACGUAGUAUCGAAGGUAGAACUCAUCAUCUUCUGCUGCCAUUGCCAUCUUUGCGAAUUAGACUCUCUCUCUCUCUCUCACAAACGCAAAUUGCAAUCACUUCCCCGAAUUCACUUCCCCUUUCAGUUGAAUUGAGCGCUGCCCUAGUUCCAGGGCUCUACAUAUUUAUACUUCUAGGCCGCUUCCUAAUUCAACACCGAC